This is a non-coding RNA of Triticum aestivum (bread wheat), 138 nucleotides long. The record is from Rfam. Lineage: Eukaryota; Viridiplantae; Streptophyta; Magnoliopsida; Poales; Poaceae.
UUUGUACUCCCUCCGUCCCAAAAUUCUUGUCUUAAAUUUGUCUAAAUACGGAUGUAUCUAGUUAUUACAUUUUAGUGUUAGAUACAUCCGUAUCUAAACAAAUGUAAGACAAGAAUUUUGGGACGGAGGGAAUACUAC